UACGUAGGGGGCGAGCGUUGUCCGGAUUUAUUGGGCGUAAAGAGCUCGUAGGCGGUUUGGCAAGUCGGGUGUGAAAACUCCGGGCUCAACUCGGAGACGCCACUCGAUACUGCCAUGACUCGAGUCCGGUAGGGGAGUGCGGAAUUCCUGGUGUAGCGGUGAAAUGCGCAGAUAUCAGGAGGAACGCCGGUGGCGAAGGCGGCACUCUGGGCCGGUACUGGCGCUGAGGAGCGAAAGCGUGGGGAGCGAACAGG
This 254-nucleotide ribosomal RNA is filed under the name uncultured bacterium. RNAcentral's name for it is "partial 16S ribosomal RNA". It matches the Rfam family "Bacterial small subunit ribosomal RNA", at positions 524 to 776 of the family's 1533-position model. The record is from RNAcentral.